UCCUACGGGAGGCAGCAGUGAGGAAUAUUGGUCAAUGGGCGCGAGCCUGAACCAGCCAAGUCGCGUGAGGGAAGACGGUCCUAUGGAUUGUAAACCUCUUUUGUCGGGGAGCAAAAGACGCCACGCGUGGCGUUCCGAGAGUACCCGAAGAAAAAGCAUCGGCUAACUCCGUGCCAGCAGCCGCGGUAAUACGUAGGGAGCGAGCGUUAUCCGGAUUUAUUGGGUGUAAAGGGUGCGUAGAUGGAUAAACAAGUUGGUUGUGAAAUCCCUCGGCUUAACUGAGGAAUUGCAACCAAAACUGUAGA
RNAcentral lists this ribosomal RNA (305 nucleotides) under uncultured bacterium. RNAcentral describes it as "bacterial SSU rRNA". It matches the Rfam family "Bacterial small subunit ribosomal RNA", at positions 337 to 639 of the family's 1533-position model. The record is from RNAcentral.